UACAGAGGGUGCAAGCGUUGUUCGGAUUUACUGGGCGUAAAGCGUGCGUAGGCGGCAUUGAGAGUCGCGGGUGAAACCCCCAAGCUUAACUUGGGAACUGCCUGCGAGACCUCAAUGCUAGAGUGUGAGAGGGGAUGGUAGAAUUCCAGGUGUAGCGGUGAAAUGCGUAGAGAUCUGGAGGAAUACCGGUGGCGAAGGCGGCCAUCUGGCUCACAACUGACGCUCAGGCACGAAAGCGUGGGUAGCAAACAGG
This 253-nucleotide ribosomal RNA is filed under the name uncultured bacterium. Its description in RNAcentral is "partial 16S ribosomal RNA". It matches the Rfam family "Bacterial small subunit ribosomal RNA", at positions 524 to 776 of the family's 1533-position model. The record is from RNAcentral.